CCAAUUACUUCCAAUUCCCUGACACUCACACAACAAAAUAUAAUGGAAAAUUGUUUGUAUCUUUGUCUUUUUUUCUCUCUUUCACAUGAUGUGUGAUACUGAUAACUGAUAACUUGUAAGCCGUUCACCGUUCAUUUUUGCUUCAUCAGUAUUAGGAUUUAGAUAUGCGUCUCUAAUAUUGGAUUGAGUUUUUAUUUUUAUUUUUUUGUAAUAAUAAAAAACAUAAACUUCUGUCAAAUCUAGUUCGAUCAUUAUAUUCUUUUAUUACAUUGUAAGAUGUUUUUUCUUCCCAUCCUUCUGCUAUACUUCUUGGAGAUAAUUGCCUACUGUACACGUUGGAGAUAAUUGCAUGGUUGACUCAAAAUUGGAGACUAAUAUGGAACUUGUUCCACUUUUUAAAACUCAAAAUUGUUCCUCCUAUUUUGGAAGGAUAAGUGGGUGGGGUAUAGACCCCUCUGCUAUGUGUUUCCUUCAUCUUUAUUAUUGAAACCGAUAAACCAACCAACAAAAAUAUCAAGUUACGUGGAAACCCGAGUACGGGAGAAAAACCAUGACUUUACUUUUCUUAUUAUUUUUUAUAAUUACAAAAUGUACAAGAGGGGGAAUAGAUAGAAUGAUAUAGUGAGAUAAAUGGACCAAGCUCACUAACUCUAACACUCUCCCUCAAGUUGGGACACAAAUAUCGAUGAGGCCUAACUUGCUAAAACAAAAGUCAAAGUUUGGUAUGAGUAGCCUCUUGGUGAGAAUAUCAUCAACCUGUUCGCUCGAAGGAAUGUAUGAAAUGCAUACUCCCACGAUCAAGUAUUUCUUUGAUGAAGUGUUGAUCAAUCUCAACAUGUUUGGUUCUAUCAUGUUGAACUGAAUUGUUAGCGAUGCUAUUGGCUGCUUUGUUAUCACAUAAUAACUUCAUUGGUGUUUCACACUCUUGAUGAAGAUCAUACAAGACUUUUUGGAGCCAAAUUUCCUUAUAUAUACCCAAACUCAUAGCCUGUAUUCGGCCUCAACAUUGCUACUGCCCACGUCACUUUGCUUCUUACGUCUCCAAGUUACUAGAUUGCCCCAUACAAAGGUAUAGUGACCGAAGGGAGUUUGCAUAAACUGGUUGGCAACAUUCACAACAAAGGAAAUAUUCGAACAAGUAUGAGACAAGUAAAUCAAUUUACCCGCAAGGCGCCGAUAUCGUUCUUUAUCAACUGGAACUUGAUCACCUGAAUUUCCUAGUUUACAGUUGAAUUCAACUGGGGUGCUAGCAAGGUGACAUCCCAACAUAUCUGUUUCGGCCAGCAAAUCAAUGACGUAUUUUCUCUGAGAUGCAGAGAUGCCUUCUUUAGAUCUGGACACCUCUAUUCCAAGGAAAUAUUUCAUAUUUCCUAAAUUAUUGAUUUCAAAUUCAUAACCCAUUCUCUGUUUCAAUUGACUAAUUUAUGCCUGAUCAUCUAUACAUAAAACGAUGUCAUCAACAUAUACAACAAGAACCGCAAUCUUUCCAUAACUGUUUUAGACCAUAUAAAGAUUUCUGAAGUUUACAUACCUGAUGACCAAACUGAGCUUCAAAUCUAGGCGAGGGGCUCAUGUAGACUUCCUCCACUAGGUCUGCACUCAGAAAAACGUUCUUAAAAUCCAGCUGAUAUAGAGUCCAAUCUUUGUUUACAACAACAAAUAGCAAGACUUUAACAGUGCUCAAUUUAGCACUGAAGAAAAAGUAUCUAAAUAGUCAACACCAUAGAUUUGAGUAAACCCCUUUGCAACUAAACUGACCUUGCUUUGUGUCUGCCAAAUGUUCCAUCUGCUUUGUAUUUGAGAGUGAACACCUAUUUACAUCUCACAAAUUUAUGUGGGUAGAGCACAAAUCUCCUAAGUUUUAUUCUCUUCAAGAGCCUUCAUUGAUUCCAUGACAACAUUCUUCCAUUCAGGAUACUCUAAAGAAGUGUGGACAUUUUUCAGUAUUAUGGUAGAAUCAAGGCUUGCUGUGAAAGCUCUGAACUGUAGAGAGAAAUUAUCAUAGGAAACAUAAUUACAAAUGCGAUAUUUUGUACAAGACCUGGUAUCUUUUCUUAGUGUAAUGAGAAUGUCCAGGGAGGGUUUUGUGGUA
Molecule: long non-coding RNA, 2092 nt
Organism: Cucumis sativus (cucumber)
Lineage: Eukaryota; Viridiplantae; Streptophyta; Magnoliopsida; Cucurbitales; Cucurbitaceae
Exons: 2
Source: RefSeq, a predicted model, not a curated record